GUCAAUAACAAUAGAAAAAUCUAUAUACAGUGUGUGCAAAUGGAGUAAGGAGCCAGCGCUUUCAGCCAGCUAGGAACUGAAGACUCAACUGAUGGGGAUGCCGUGUCGUCGAACGUUGAAAGUGAUGCUAUUCCAUCGAGUUUACCCUUCACUUCAAAGAAGAAGGCAUCUGAUCAGCCAACAUCAGCGCAGCAGAAGAGAGGGCAAGCUGCGUUAAGAGUCCAAUCCCAUCAACAUUUGAAGAGGCUUCAAGAUCAAGCUCAGCACCAGGAACUAGUGUAUGUCACCUACAAUCUACUAAAUCUUUCCAUGACGAGCAAAUAAAUAUACUGGAGCCAGGCAUAAACAUGGUCCGUGUCUUGUCAUAGUUGGUGUGUUUACAAGUAGGCUAUAACAUCGUCAAAAUCUGCUAAACCAUUACCAACACAAUAAGAGGUUCACCAGCUGAAGAACAUUCUGGAACCUGCCUGGAACAUUCAACCAACACAACAUCCAUAUUCAGUUAGACUGAUGUUGUAGUAUAAUAUGGAAUGCCUAAUAUGCUCACAACUGAAUUGUGAUAUAGAUAUUUCUAGCUGUUGUAUGUAUAUAAUGGUGUUUUAUAGAUAUAUUUUUACAAGUGUACUGACAAGUGACAAAAUGAUUCCAGGUGCAUCGGAAACUAAUGAAGUGUUGACUUCAAAUUCAAAUAAAAUGUUAUUUGUCACAUGUGCCGAAUACA
Molecule: long non-coding RNA, 721 nt
Organism: Salvelinus namaycush (lake trout)
Lineage: Eukaryota; Metazoa; Chordata; Actinopteri; Salmoniformes; Salmonidae
Exons: 3
Source: RefSeq, a predicted model, not a curated record